AACCCAUGUUGUGGACACUUCCGCAAGAGAUCCUUGAAUCGUUCCCAUGUCUCAAACAAUAAUUCUAGCUUCAUCUAAACAUAUGAGGAUAUCUCAUUUAGAAGUUU
Small nucleolar RNA from Dioscorea cayenensis subsp. rotundata (Guinea yam), 107 nucleotides. The record is from RefSeq and is a predicted model, not a curated record. Lineage: Eukaryota; Viridiplantae; Streptophyta; Magnoliopsida; Dioscoreales; Dioscoreaceae.